RNAcentral lists this ribosomal RNA (1352 nucleotides) under metagenome. RNAcentral describes it as "bacterial LSU rRNA". It matches the Rfam family "Bacterial large subunit ribosomal RNA", at positions 1564 to 2925 of the family's 2925-position model. The record is from RNAcentral.
CGAGUCCGGCAAGCUACGGCUUGUCAGUGAUGGCGAUCAUACUUCCCAGAAAAGCCCGGACUAUCGUAAAUUCUAAAUACUUGUACCCGAAACCGACACAGGUGGGGAGGUUGAGAAAACUAAGGGGCGCGAGAUAACUCUCUCUAAGGAACUCGGCAAAAUGACCCCGUAACUUCGGGAGAAGGGGUGCCACCGCAAGGUGGUCGCAGUAAAGAGGCCCAGGCGACUGUUUACCAAAAACACAGGUCUCCGCCAAGUCGCAAGACGCAGUAUGGGGGCUGACGCCUGCCCAGUGCCGGAAGGUUAAGGAAGUUGGUCAGGAGUAAUCUAAAGCUGACGACUGAAGCCCCGGUGAACGGCGGCCGUAACUAUAACGGUCCUAAGGUAGCGAAAUUCCUUGUCGGGUAAGUUCCGACCCGCACGAAAGGCGUAACGAUCUGGGCACUGUCUCGGAGAGAGACUCGGCGAAAUAGGAUUGUCUGUGAAGAUACGGACUACCUGCACCUGGACAGAAAGACCCUAUGAAGCUUUACUGUAGCCUGGAAUUGGCUUCGGGCUUCGCUUGCGCAGGAUAGGUGGGAGGCGUUGACAUUCCCCUUGUGGGGGGAAUUGAGCCAACGGUGAGAUACCACUCUAGCGAGGCUAGAAGUCUAACUUUCGCCCAUUGUCUGGGGAAAGAACAGUUUCAGGUGGGCAGUUUGACUGGGGCGGUCGCCUCCUAAAUGGUAACGGAGGCGUACAAAGGUUUCCUCAGGCUGGUUGGAAAUCAGCCAUAGAGUGCAAAAGCAGAAGGAAGCUUGACUGCGAGACCUACAAGUCGAGCAGGGACGAAAGUCGGUUUUAGUGAUCCGACGGCGCCGCGUGGAAGGGCCGUCGCUCAACGGAUAAAAGUUACUCUAGGAUAACAGGCUGAUCUCCCCCAAGAGUCCACAUCGACGGGGAGGUUUGGCACCUCGAUGUCGGCUCAUCGCAACCUGGGGCGGAAGUACGUCCCAAGGGUUGGGCUGUUCGCCCAUUAAAGCGGUACGUGAGCUGGGUUCAGAACGUCGUGAGACAGUUCGGUCCAUAUCCGGUGCAGGCGCAAGAGCAUUGAGAGGAGCCUUCCUUAGUACGAGAGGACCGGGAAGGACGCACCACUGGUGUACCUGUUAUCGUGCCAACGGUAGACGCAGGGUAGCCAAGUGCGGAGUGGAUAACCGCUGAAAGCAUCUAAGUGGGAAGCCCACCUCAAGAUGAUUGCUCUCACAGGGUUAACCUGGUAAGGUCACGGGCAGAACACCCGUUAUUAGGCACUAGGUGGAAGUUCAGCAAUGAAUGUAGCCAAGGUGUACUAACAGACCGAGGGCUUGACC